UCUCAUAAGAAUAACCAUAAGAAUAAAUCUCCUUGAUAUCAAAUAGAAAAGGCCAAAGUAAGUCCAGUAAACAGGUUGAAGUAAUAAUAUUGUAUGUUUAGUUGUAGAGUAAUGAUAUAGCCACAAACUCUUGUACAAACUGAUGUGGCAUGAUAAGAUUGGUUGAAUUAAAUAUCACUUGGCCCACAUGAUUUGUUUUUAUUAUUUUAUAUUUUCAUUCAACUAAUGAAUUAAUGCCACGUCAGUUUGUACAAGAUAAGUUUGUACAAGAGUUUGUGGUUGUAUCAUCACUCUUAGUUGUAAGGUGCUCUUUACUACUUUGUAUGAACAAGAAAAAGGUCUAAGAAGACCAACCAUGAGCUUUAAUGAGCCCAUCUUGGCUUUAUACAUAUUAAUAACGAUUAUAGCAUACUCAAAAUUAAUUUUAAACGGUGGUCACAAUUAAUAGCUAUACCUUCCAAGAUGAUUCUAGUUGAUGCUGUAACUUCAGCAUUAACAUUGUCUUUAAGCCAUUUCCUCAGUUUAGUAUGGACCUGUCACAUAUAUUUAAAACAUGGUCUGCAAAAAAUGAUUACCAAAAAAUUGACAAAAUAUCAACUUUAAAAGCACAACAAAGAGCAAUUAUGUUAGCAAGUUUUGCCGGCAAAAGGAGAUAAAGUAAUAACUAAAAUAGACUGAAAACGUCUAUUUACUUGUAUUCAAUAUAUAAACACAAAGUACAAAAAUAUUUUUGUGCAUGUCCCCAUCUGAAAAGGUAAUGACACAAGCAAAAUUAUAUGUGGGUUUGUGUGAGUAUUUAGGUAGAUGUAUAAACGAGAGUAUCCACAAGCUUAGGAGUCUGAAGAUGGAUUGAGGAACAAAUAUAAUUCUUUGCUAUAUGUAUGAAUCUACAAGGUGAAAACAUAAUGAUAACUAUCAGAAACAGCUCUACUGUAUUAUUACUUGUUUCAAAACUACUAGAGCUAUAGACAAAUUCUAAAAUGCCCUGCGUAGGGUAAAAUGCACAUGGUGAAACAUAUAGAAAUGUGUUGACAAAAAAACUAAGCAAGCUCAUAACCAAUUCCGGUAAAAAAAAAGGCUUAUAAUCAAUCCAACAAUAUUUAUAUUGAUAGCAAGCCAAUAAGGGUAGUCAUAUCAUUCUUAUAAGCAUGAAGAUCAUUGUCAUUAAAACAUUAAAUUAAAUAAGACAUAAACCCAAACUUACUUCCUGAACCUGAGCAAGGUUUGCAACCUUCCCAA
RNAcentral lists this long non-coding RNA (1239 nucleotides) under Citrus sinensis (sweet orange). RNAcentral's name for it is "long non-coding RNA (CSIN_LNC002095)". Lineage: Eukaryota; Viridiplantae; Streptophyta; Magnoliopsida; Sapindales; Rutaceae. The record is from RNAcentral.